UACGUAGGGGGCGAGCGUUAUCCGGAAUCACUGGGCGUAAAGGGUGCGUAGGCGGCCUAUACAGUCAGGGGUGAAAGGCUACGGCUUAACCGUAGUAAGCCUUUGAAACUUAUGGGCUUGAGUGCAGGAGAGGAGAGUGGAAUUCCUAGUGUAGCGGUGAAAUGCGUAGAUAUUAGGAGGAACACCAGUGGCGAAGGCGACUCUCUGGACUGUAACUGACGCUGAGGCACGAAAGCGUGGGGAGCGAACAGG
Molecule: ribosomal RNA, 252 nt
Filed under: uncultured bacterium
Lineage: Bacteria
Description: partial 16S ribosomal RNA
Rfam family: Bacterial small subunit ribosomal RNA
Source: RNAcentral